GCCUGUUUAUCAAAAACAUUUCUUUAAGAACUACUUUAAAGUAAAACCUGCUCAAUGUCUUCAUAAAUAGCCGCAGUAUUACUGUGCUAAGGUAGCAUAAUCAUUAGCCUUUUAAUUAAAGGAUAGUAUGAAUGGUUAAACGACGACGCUAUCUGUCUCUAAAUAUUGUAAUUAAUUUAAACUAAAAGUAAAAAGUCUUUUGAACCUAAGCAGGACGACAAGACCCUGACAAACUUAACCAUUCUGCUGGGGCGGCAAACUCAAAAAAACCUUAAAACACAAAUCAAAAUAAUACCCCAAUUUAAUAGUAAAAAGUUACUACAGGGAUAACAGCGCAACCUUCCCUCUAAAGAUCACAUAAAAAGGGAGACCUACGACCUCGAUGUUGAAUUAACUAGUCUUUUAGGAGCAA
This 412-nucleotide ribosomal RNA is filed under the name Psilochorus itaguyrussu. Its description in RNAcentral is "partial 16S ribosomal RNA". It matches the Rfam family "Bacterial large subunit ribosomal RNA", at positions 1798 to 2558 of the family's 2925-position model. The record is from RNAcentral. Lineage: Eukaryota; Metazoa; Arthropoda; Arachnida; Araneae; Pholcidae.